CAGUAGCCGCGGGAAUACGUAGGGCGCAAGCGUUGUCCGGAAUUAUUGGGCGUAAAGAGCUCGUAGGCGGUCUGUCGCGUCUGGUGUGAAAUCCCGAGGCUCAACCUCGGGCUUGCAUCGGGUACGGGCAGACUAGAGUGCGGUAGGGGAGACUGGAAUUCCUGGUGUAGCGGUGGAAUGCGCAGAUAUCAGGAGGAACACCGAUGGCGAAGGCAGGUCUCUGGGCCGCAACUGACGCUGAGGAGCGAAAGCAUGGGGAGCGAACAGGAUUAGAUACCCCUGUAGUCCCUGUCUCUUAUAU
Molecule: ribosomal RNA, 301 nt
Filed under: uncultured bacterium
Lineage: Bacteria
Description: partial 16S ribosomal RNA
Rfam family: Bacterial small subunit ribosomal RNA
Source: RNAcentral